GCAGAAGGGUUGGGGUUGGAAGGGAUUCUAUGGAUCGGAGAACCAUGGGAUCGUGGUGUGGUUGGUUGGAGGGGUCCCUAUAGAUCAUAAAACCAUGAGAUCAUGGCGUGGUUGGAUUGGGAGGAACCCUAUAGACUGCAGAGCCAUGGGGUCAUGGCAUGGAACCCUACAGAGCACAGAACAAUGCCAGGACAUGGGGGGCAACAGGAAAGCUGGGAAGGACUUCUUAUAAGGGUGUGCAGUGAUCGGAUGAGGGGAAGCGGCUUUGAGCUGGAAUAGGGGGGGGUCUGGAGUGGAUAUUGGGAAGGAAUUCUUCACUGUGAGGGUGGGGGGACGCUGGGAUGGGGCACCGGGGGGGCUGAGGGUGCCCCCUCCCUGGGUGUGAUGGGGCUCUGAGCAGCCCGGUGUGCUGGGAGCCCGCCCUGCUGGCAGCGGGGGAUGCAGCGAGGUGACCAAUGGGCCAAUAUCCAACCCAAACCACGCUGUGAUUCAGUGGUUCUGUGAUCUAUGGGAUCCGUUCGAACUCAACCAUCCCAUGAUCCCAUGGUUCUGUGAUCCAUAGAAUCCCUCCCAACCCAACCAUCCCAUGAUCCCAUGGUUCUGUGAUCCAUAGAAUCCCUCCCAACCCAACCAUGCCACGAUCCCAUGGUUCUGUGAUCUGUAGGGUCCCUCUCAACCCAACCACGCCAUGAUCCCAUGGUUCUGUGAUCUGUAGGGUCCCUCUCAACCCAACCACGCCAUGAUCCCAUGGUUCUGUGAUUCAUAGCGUCCCUCCCAACCCAGCCAUGCCAUGAUCCCAUGGUUCUGUGAUCCAUAGGGUCCCUCCCAACCCAAUCAUCCCAUGAUCCCAUGGUUCCGCAAUCUAUAGGGUCCCUCCCAACCCAACCAUGCCAUGAUCCCAUGGUUCUGUGAUCCAUAGGGUCCCUCUCAACCCAACCAUGCCAUGAUCCCAUGGUUCUAUGAUCUAUAGGGUCUCCUCUGUGAUCCAUAGGGUCCCUCCUAACCCAACCAUGCUGUGAUCCCAUGGUUCUGUGAUCCAUAGAAUCCCUCCCAACCCAACCACCCCAUGAUCCCAUGGUUCUGUGAUCCAUAGGGUCCCUCUAAACCCAACCAUGCCAUGAUCCCAUGGUUCUAUGAUCCGUAGGGUCCUUCCCAACCCAACCAUGCCAUGAUCCCAUUGUUCUGUGAUCCAUAGGGUCCCUCCCAA
This 1207-nucleotide long non-coding RNA is filed under the name Gallus gallus (chicken). Its description in RNAcentral is "lncRNA (ENSGALG00010028821.1)". Lineage: Eukaryota; Metazoa; Chordata; Aves; Galliformes; Phasianidae. The record is from RNAcentral.